AAUGAACGUUGGCGGCGUGGAUUAGGCAUGCAAGUUGAGCGAGAAGUUUUAAAAAGAUACUUCGGUUGAUUUUUAAAAUGGACAGCGGCGAAAGGGAGAGUAACGAGUAGAUACGUACCCAAGGGUCCGGGAUAGCCAUGCGAAAGCGUGAGUAAUACCGGAUAAUGUCUCCGGACCAAAGAUUUAUUGCCCUUGGAGCGGUUUGCUUACUAUUAGGUAGUUGGUGGGGUAAAGGCCUACCAAGCCAAAGAUGGUUAGCGGGUGUGAGAGCAUGGCCCGUCUCACUGGGACUGAGACACUGCCCAGACACCUACGGGUGGCUGCAGUCGAGAAUCUUCCGCAAUGGGCGAAAGCCUGACGGAGCGACGCCGCGUGGUGGAUGAAGGCCCUCGGGUUGUAAACACCUGUCGUAGGGGAGGAAAUUUUGACCGAUCCUAGGAGGAAGCACAGGCUAAGUUCG
This 460-nucleotide ribosomal RNA is filed under the name uncultured Planctomycetaceae bacterium. RNAcentral's name for it is "bacterial SSU rRNA". It matches the Rfam family "Bacterial small subunit ribosomal RNA", at positions 29 to 505 of the family's 1533-position model. Lineage: Bacteria; Pseudomonadati; Planctomycetota; Planctomycetia; Planctomycetales; Planctomycetaceae. The record is from RNAcentral.